This is a long non-coding RNA of Petromyzon marinus (sea lamprey), 2456 nucleotides long. RefSeq lists it as uncharacterized. The record is from RefSeq and is a predicted model, not a curated record. NCBI's taxonomy places the organism in Eukaryota, Metazoa, Chordata, Hyperoartia, Petromyzontiformes, Petromyzontidae.
UACGGACGGCCCCUUGUCUGUGGUUCCUCCUCGCGCCUCUUCGUCGUCAUCCUCUAUGAGUGUGGUGCAGUGCAUUACAAGUUGAAAUUAUUAUUUCCAAAACAUCACUUGUCAUGUACUUUUUUUUCUUUUUUUAAGGCCACGGUGUUGUGACAAACGAGUUGAGUGUUGUGCGUGUGUGUGUUAUUUCUGCUUGUGCAGGCGCAGCAGCAGAAAUCACCAAAUAAUUUGCCCAGAUAAAGGCGAGAAAAAAAACAAUGGCCAUUUGCUACAAGUUCGUUGUUCAACUGAAGGAUAUCUGUCGGAAGGACACAUCACGGAGUAUGCAUCCCCAAGGCAGUUAUUUGAAAGUGGACCGGUCUCAUAACGAUGACAAUACAGUGGUGAACGCUUUUGGGGAAAAUGUUACAUUCUAAUGCAGAGCAACAUAGCAGUGUGCCUAUAUAAGAAGAAGGUGUUCCAUCAUAAUAGAGCGCCUGUCAUAAUUACCGAAGAAGACACUGAGUGUACUGCGAGCGAUGGUUUCAAAUAGACACCGCAGCCCUGUUAUGUUGCCGCUCGCCGUUUCCUCCCCGCUCGCGUGAGCGUUGUGAUGGUGCUCCGAGCAAGAGUCAAACAGCCCACGUUGCCACAGCUGGGGAGACGUAGUCUCGUGCGAGUCACUUAAACACUCAUGAAGAGGGUCCUGUCAGAAGACGUUUUGCCAAAUACCUCCUUGCUGCUGAGAAAUACUUGUGUGUACAAAAGGAGGGAACCCUAAAUAGCCGGACAUGGCCACGCGCGAGUAUAAACAACACUCAAAUAUUGGAAGACGUCAACAGCCUCCUUUCUGUACUGUCUUCUCCUGGGAGCUCCAGGAUGGACCAUCCGUGCCCCCACCGUGCCAAGAUCUGCAGGUCACGGAUUGGCCUAUUCACCCAUGGCCAGCCAGGUCCACCUUACAACACAGAUAAGUGACAACCUGGAGGGAAAUCAUACUCGACUACGAGUGAUCCCAGAAGAUCCCCUGGUGUCGCAGGUUUCCUUGGCUCCCACCCUCCAGUUUUUCCAGCUGCAAUAAGAGAGAAGAAAGCAUGAACGUAUUGGAGAAAUGAAAACAAACUCGGAAAGCAGCACAGUUACAAUGCCUAGCCUACCAUCGGGUGAAAUACCCCAGACGGCCUAUGAAAAACCGGAAUACAUCAUGAGCCUGUGGAAUUCGUGCUACUUAAAGUGACCGAAUUUCUGGGAGAGAAUUUCUGGCCAGCUCCUCCCUCCGCCAGCUCCACCCACUAUUAAAAUAGCCACGUCCACUCAGUCACUAUCCCGCCCACACAGCGCGUAGUGUCCUCCUCACUCAAUCUGACUUUGGCCCCACGCACUGUUCAUGGGUCACGUCCACUCCCCCUGCCAACCCCACCCACCACUCCGGUAGCCCCACCCUUUCGCACGCAUCACCGGUUGAAUAGAGACGCCAGAAAGGACUUAAAUCGGGACAAUAUUCUGGUUUUCACAAAUGCUUUGGGACGCCGGGAAUGUUUUUUGUGAAGCUGGGACUGUCUCAGCCAAACCGGACCAUGAUUUAUUUUAAGUAUGUUGAAUUUCUUUCGCGCCCUACAUAGCUAACCUUGUUAAUCGGAGGUGUGGCAAGACACUGGGUUUUUAAUUUUUUUUAAUGUACCGCUGAAUAUUUAUUCCAUUAAACACGUGUCGCAAAAUCAACAUGACGGAUACCAAUUUACACUGAAAAAUAUAAAUAAUCUACUCACUGACAGAAUAAAACGUCAUACAUCCUAUAUUUAUUUUCUGAAUAAACGCAUUUAUGAUGCAGUGGAUGCGAACAAAAACUAUAGAACUGAGCUACAUGUGACAAAUUCCAUCCUAUCAGAGACUGCUUUAAUUAGGAAGCUACUGCAAAAACAGCACAUUCAUAAAAAGUACACUUACACCAAUGGCUGUUAACAGGACACAAACACAUUUCAGAAAAAUGAAACAUCGCUCAAGUUGCACAAAAUAAAAUAGGGCAAUUUAGUUUAGCAAGGAUGACGUUAUUGCUUCUGCUUGUUAAUAUACAUUUAGUGAGUUUGACGUUUGAUUUUUAUAUUACAUUUUGGUAAAAAUGUCCAGGACAGAAAAUAAAUACGGUAGAAAUCCAAAAAAGUUGCAAUUCAAUAGCCCACGAAUUCCUGUAAUUUGCUGACUAUCGGCGGUUCACGAGCGCUCCCAUAAUCCACGGCGCACUGCGGUGGAUCGCAAACCGCGAUGCGUAGAAGUGAGCAAGGCUCACGGAGAGCUGCAGAGCCACGCUGCAGCAAGAGCGGAGGUAAGAUUUUAUUUUUUUUACGAGCAGAGAACCCAUUGCACUGCAACGGGAAAUAACAGACAGCUGUCAUUCAUAAUCUGAUUUUUCAUGUUCGGAAAUGCCAAGAUAAUAUCUAUUGUGUGUUUUUUUAUAUAUAUCGUCUAGGAUGUAAAUA